Musa acuminata AAA Group (dessert banana) is the source of this 870-nucleotide long non-coding RNA. RefSeq lists it as uncharacterized. NCBI's taxonomy places the organism in Eukaryota, Viridiplantae, Streptophyta, Magnoliopsida, Zingiberales, Musaceae. The record is from RefSeq and is a predicted model, not a curated record. The transcript has 3 exons.
UCCACCUUUCGGCACGAAAGCGAGGGAACGGAGAGCCAAAUCCACACGUAACGCCCACUUUCAUCUUCCCUUUGUCCCUCUGAUGCAUCAUUUCCCUACUUUAGAGUCGUGGACGAAGGAAACCAGCACGGUAAGCUGUGUCUCUCCUCUUCCGUAUGGCAGCAUGUAGGAGCUCGUAAGCUGCACGCGAUUCUGUUUGUCUCUUCCCCCAAAUAGUUUCUAGUGACGAUCAGUAGCUUUCUUGGUUGCUUUGAGGAGUUCCACACUCUAUGCGAUAGUUCUUGCUGGGCUAAACUGAAUGGGAAUAGGGAACAAAAUGUGUGGGUUCCAAUUUGUUUCAACCCUCUUAUGGUGUGCCCGUGAGACCAAGAGGGCACACCUUCUUUAUGAGAUAAUGCCAAUGUGGCAUCCUAUCUUUUAUUGGACCACACAGUGCCAACUUGGGGUUGCCAUGUUGUCAUUCUCUCUUCUUUUAUCUCAGCUUGGAGGUUGGAUGCUUAUUAAGCUGUUAAUCCAGAAUUCAUCUGUCAUCCUCGAAUUGAUGCAUUUGAGGAUCAUCUCCAGCAUGAAUCUUGAGGAGCCAAGGGGAGGGAAAGGGAAGAGGAUAGGAUGAUGAUCAAAAUAUCCAAGUAGAGCCAGAUCUUUGUUGGGAGUGUUUCAGAUACCUAAGUCAGAGUGAGUCCUAAAAUAAGAUUUAAAGAUGGUAUGUAGAGAGAUGUGUAUAAUUAUGAGUUUUAGUUUAUAGUCGAGAAUUUCUAACCAUUUAAGAACAGGACUUAUAUUUUUUGAAUAUUUUUCGGUUUCGAUUUGUGCUAAUGUGACAAAUUUGGGUUAUAUUCAUUUUUUUUAAUAGUCAUGCUGUUUUUGACA